GCUAGUGUGGCAGAGACAGGUAAUUGCAAAAGUCCUAAGAUCUUUCUACCGGAGGUUCAACUCCUUCCAUUAGCU
Molecule: transfer RNA, 75 nt
Filed under: Scutiger liupanensis (Liupan alpine toad)
Lineage: Eukaryota; Metazoa; Chordata; Amphibia; Anura; Megophryidae
Description: tRNA-Leu
Rfam family: tRNA
About the family: Transfer RNA (tRNA) molecules are approximately 80 nucleotides in length.
Source: RNAcentral